This 799-nucleotide long non-coding RNA is filed under the name Citrus maxima (pomelo). RNAcentral describes it as "long non-coding RNA (CMAX_LNC003855)". The record is from RNAcentral. Lineage: Eukaryota; Viridiplantae; Streptophyta; Magnoliopsida; Sapindales; Rutaceae.
ACAAGGACCCCUCUGCAGAUGUGCUUUCCGAACUUGGUAUUGGAUGCUAACAUUAUAAUCCGAAAUAAGAGGUCACACACCAGGAUCGGUAGGACUUUCUGGCAAAUCAAUUUUGACUUCCGUUUGACUCACAAGCAACUACUUUCCCAUCGAAAUUUGGCGGCAAUUUUCUUUUUAAGCACCUCUCCAUAACUAUUUUAAAAUAGAGUUACACGUCAGACAUUUAUCCAAGUUAGUUACUAAAAAAACACAACACCGCCACCGCCACCGCUACCGCUUAACAGAAAAAAUCAAACAAAUUCAUAGGCAGCAAGCAAAUGCAAUAGCUGCAGAACAUAUCCAUUCAACGAAAAAAAAUUAAGAAAAAAACUAGCCAAUAAAAGCAUUACAUACGCAAUUACAUGUCUCGUAAGCAUUUAAUCAAACACUUGGCAUAUACCACGUAAGAAAAAUGAAUUUUGGAAACAAGCAUGUACCUGACAAAUGCCAUUAUUUAGUUGGCUAUUAAUCCCCAGUUGAAAUUUGGGAUAAAAAGGCUUCGGUUCCUUUUUUUUUUUUUUUUUUUCCUUGAAGGGAAUUUCAAUGCAAUUGAAUUAGCUGACAGCCUAGCGUUUUGCAAUGGGUUCCAUUUUCGUCUCUACAUUUUAGCUCGAAAGAGAGUCUCUCUUCACUAACUUCACUUGGAGAGGUACCGCGUCUUGGUCGCUUGGAUAGUUCCCGGGUAGGGACCCGAUUCUACCUAACCCGGGAAAUUUAUUUUCUUAAUUUUUUUGAAAAGAAAAAUCACAGUUGAAAAAAA